AGCGGCGGACGGGUGAGUAACGCGUAGGAAUCUACCUAGUAGAAGGGGAUAGCCCGGGGAAACUCGGAUUAAUACCGUAUACCUCCUAAGGGAGAAAGAGGGCCUCUCUUGAUGCUCUCGCUAUUAGAUGAGCCUGCGUAAGAUUAGCUUGUUGGUAAGGUAAUGGCUUACCAAGGCUACGAUCUUUAGCUGGUCUGAGAGGACGAUCAGCCACAUUGGGACUGAGACACGGCCCAGACUCCUACGGGAGGCAGCAGUGGGGAAUAUUGGACAAUGGGCGCAAGCCUGAUUCAGCCAUACCGCGUGUGUGAAGAAGGCCUUCGGGUUGUAAAGCACUUUAAGCAGGGAGAAAAAGCAAUAAGUUAAUACCUUAUUGCCGUGAUGUUACCUGCAGAAUAAGCACCGGCUAAUUCCGUGCCAGCAGCCGCGGUAAUACGGAAGGUGCAAGCGUUAAUCGGAAUUACUGGGCGUAGAGCGCGCGUAGGUGGUUUGUUAAGUUGGAUGUGAAAGCCCUGGGCUCAACCUAGGAACUGCAUCCAAAACUAACUCACUAGAGUACGAUAGAGGGAGGUAGAAUUCAUGGUGUAGCGGUGGAAUGCGUAGAUAUUAUGAAGAAUACCAGUGGCGAAGGCGGCCUCCUGGAUCUGUACUGACACUAAGGUGCGAAAGCGUGGGUAGCGAACAGGAUUAGAUACCCUGGUAGUCCACGCCGUAAACGAUGACAACUAGCUGUUGGGAGACAAUGUCUUUCAGUGGCGCAGCUAACGUUUUAAGUUGUCCGCCUGGGGAGUAC
RNAcentral lists this ribosomal RNA (793 nucleotides) under uncultured marine bacterium. Its description in RNAcentral is "bacterial SSU rRNA". It matches the Rfam family "Bacterial small subunit ribosomal RNA", at positions 94 to 883 of the family's 1533-position model. The record is from RNAcentral.